Setaria italica (foxtail millet) is the source of this 1863-nucleotide RNA transcript. RefSeq lists it as uncharacterized. Lineage: Eukaryota; Viridiplantae; Streptophyta; Magnoliopsida; Poales; Poaceae. The transcript is spliced from 3 exons. The record is from RefSeq and is a predicted model, not a curated record.
GGGCAACUAAACAAGGCCUGAGGUUCCAGAAACUUGGAUUGCGCCGUGUCUGGGACAUGGACCAAGAGACGUCCUUGUGUCAGUUAUGACAAGUUGGAACUUUUCAGUUGGCGGAUGCUGCUGGUGAAGGACCUCUGUCUCACGGCAUUGAAGGCCAGCUUGAUUGGGCUCGGCUACUCGGGAGAGCCCUAGAGAUGGAGCCGAAGACGGCGGCCAUGGCGAUUAAAGCAGCACGCAGGUCGGCCCACUACCGAACAGCCAUGGUGCAUGAUUGGUGGCGUCGCGGCCGGCGGAGGUUGCAGCCUUGCAGGCUCCGUCGAAGCCGGCGGAUCGGUGCCCAAGGUGCAGCGGCUGGCUGUGCGAGGGAGGCAUGGCGAUGGUGUUGACGGCCGCCGGCGGCCAGCGCAGCGCGACCUCGUCGAUCGCCAUGUCCGGCAGAUUACUUCACAAACGCCCCCCCUAUUUUGGAUCGCGAUUAUUAAUCGCAAUCCGAUUAUUUGUAAAAAAGACCCUUGAUACUUGAUAGCUUACAGGUACGCCCUCGUCCUCGAUCUAGGUAGGCAGGGGAAACACGCCGCCGCCGCCGCCCGCCGCACCUUUCGUCCCCCUUCCAUCCGCACGCCCUCAAUCCCAAGCGUCACCGGAGGAGAUUUCGACCGGGAGCGGUCGAUUCGCCGGCUCCGGCCUAUGCACGCGUCGUCGCCAUCCGUCGCCCUCGUCUGGUCAGCGCGGACAAGAUGGUGCCUCCGGUUGCGUCGCGCCGACGCCGACGGGGAAGCCUUCUGCAGGAACUCAUAUGCCAUUCGGCAAUUCAGGCGCACUACAUUUUUUCGCGGUGUAUUCAGGUGCAAUGUUUGGAGUUGAAGUAGAGAGAAAAGUCAUCUGCAGUGAGAAUACAUGCUAUUUAGUUCAGUUAUUCAUGUAGAGAUCCUGAGAACUUCAGGUUCAAAAGUUUCUGAACCUUUGUCUACUGCUAUAUUUGUGUAUCCUUAUCAUGUUGUUGACGACUUGGCAGUUGGCAUCAUCCUAAACCAGCUUCCGAUCACAUUUCAGGUGCCUACAAACGGAGUCGAAGUAGAGAGUAAAGGUAUCUACAGUUUUGAAGCUUAGCGGUACAGAGUCAGAGAGGGUAUCUACUAUUCAGUUCCUGAGAUCUUCAGAACACAAGUGGCUACCAGAGGUCGAUUAGCCACAUCAUCGGUCCAUCCUUGUUGAAUAGCAUCCAAUUGCUCGUCUUGCCUGAACCUUUUUUUCUCAGAGAUCGAAGAAAUGCACAGCUUCUGAACUUUGUGCACGAUUCAUCCACUGCCACCACUAUGAGCUGAUCAAGGAUACAAAAUGUGGCCAAAGUAAAAAUAAAAGUUAAGACUCCGCAAAUGAGUUGCUAGAUGCCCGUCACCUCUGGGAUGAUCACCUCGGACUUGUUCAUCAUCCUUAUGUUCCUCCUCUCACUGUCUGAACAUCUUGAGGCAUGACAAUUGCUUCUUGCAGGGGUACAAUCUGUUGAACUGCUCAAAACCGUGUUGCUGCUUCGCCUUUGAGUUGCGCUGCUCCAGUGCAAACUGAAUUUCUUCUACAGUUGUGGCACCAGGUGGAUGCAUCUGCUGGCUAAGGACAACGCUAGGGCUUCAGCUCCACCGUGACAACUGGGUCUUCAACAAUGUACAGUUGGUCACUCUCUGAGUCCAGGAAAAAAGGCGCUUGUGCUAAGUUUGGCCCAGCGAUCUUGUGUUGGUGGUUGGUCGUUUUCUAUUAUCUUUUGUGUGGCGAGAAUGUAAUCUAAUGAAAAGGAGGUGUGUGCGGGUGGGUUGUAAUCAAACUGCUUUUUUCUAUAUUAAUGCGAUGACGCGUCUAAUUCUCUUA